Molecule: unclassified non-coding RNA, 305 nt
Filed under: plant metagenome
Description: partial contains 5.8S ribosomal RNA, internal transcribed spacer 2, and large subunit ribosomal RNA
Rfam family: 5.8S ribosomal RNA (bases 1-105)
Source: RNAcentral
GAAAUGCGAUAAGUAGUGUGAAUUGCAGAAUUCAGUGAAUCAUCGAAUCUUUGAACGCACAUUGCGCCCUUUGGUAUUCCUUAGGGCAUGCCUGUUCGAGCGUCAUCUAAAUCUUCAAGCCCUGCUUGGUGUUGGGUGCCUGUCCCGCCUCCGCGCGCGGACUCACCUCAAAUCCAUUGGCGGCCCCCGCGUCGGCCACGAGCGCAGCAGAAACGCGAACUCGUGAGCCCGUCCGGGCGGCUCCCAGAAGCUACACCCACCCAGUUUGACCUCGGAUCAGGUAGGGAUACCCGCUGAACUUAAGC